This 527-nucleotide ribosomal RNA is filed under the name uncultured bacterium. RNAcentral describes it as "bacterial SSU rRNA". It matches the Rfam family "Bacterial small subunit ribosomal RNA", at positions 984 to 1509 of the family's 1533-position model. The record is from RNAcentral.
ACAUCCAGAGAAUUUAGCAGAGAUGCUUUAGUGCCUUCGGGAACUCUGAGACAGGGUGCUGCAUGGCUGUCGUCAGCUCGUGUUGUGAAAUGUUGGGUUAAGUCCCGNAACGAGCGCAACCCUUAUCCUUUGUUGCCAGCACGUAAUGGUGGGAACUCAAAGGAGACUGCCGGUGAUAAACCGGAGGAAGGUGGGGAUGACGUCAAGUCAUCAUGGCCCUUACGAGUAGGGCUACACACGUGCUACAAUGGCGCAUACAAAGAGAAGCGACCUCGCGAGAGCAAGCGGACCUCAUAAAGUGCGUCGUAGUCCGGAUUGGAGUCUGCAACUCGACUCCAUGAAGUCGGAAUCGCUAGUAAUCGUAAAUCAGAAUGUUACGGUGAAUACGUUCCCGGGCCUUGUACACACCGCCCGUCACACCAUGGGAGUGGGUUGCAAAAGAAGUAGAUAGCUUAACCUUCGGGAGGGCGUUUACCACUUUGUGAUUCAUGACUGGGGUGAAGUCGUAACAAGGUAAGCGUAGUGCU